RNAcentral lists this non-coding RNA (23 nucleotides) under Arabidopsis thaliana (thale cress). The record is from RNAcentral. Lineage: Eukaryota; Viridiplantae; Streptophyta; Magnoliopsida; Brassicales; Brassicaceae.
AGAACUACAAGAUCUCCGAUCAU